RNAcentral lists this ribosomal RNA (497 nucleotides) under uncultured bacterium. RNAcentral's name for it is "partial 16S ribosomal RNA". It matches the Rfam family "Bacterial small subunit ribosomal RNA", at positions 28 to 507 of the family's 1533-position model. The record is from RNAcentral.
GAUGAACGCUGGCGGCGUGCCUAAUACAUGCCAGUCGAGCGAACAGACGAGGAGCUUGCUCCUCUGACGUUAGCGGCGGACGGGUGAGUAACACGUGGAUAACCUACCUAUAAGACUGGGAUAACUUCGGGAAACCGGAGCUAAUACCGGAUAAUAUAUUGAACCGCAUGGUUCAAUAGUGAAAGACGGUUUUGCUGUCACUUAUAGAUGGAUCCGCGCCGCAUUAGCUAGUUGGUAAGGUAACGGCUUACCAAGGCAACGAUGCGUAGCCGACCUGAGAGGGUAAUCGGCCACACUGGAACUGAGACACGGUCCAGACUCCUACGGGAGGCAGCAGUAGGGAAUCUUCCGCAAUGGGCGAAAGCCUGACGGAGCAACGCCGCGUGAGUGAUGAAGGUCUUCGGAUCGUAAAACUCUGUUAUUAGGGAAGAACAAAUGUGUAAGUAACUAUGCACGUCUUGACGGUACCUAAUCAGAAAGCCACGGCUAACUACGUG